GACGAACGCUGACGGUGUGCUUAGGCAUGCAAGUCGAACGAGAAAGCCCUUCGGGGUGAGUAAAGUGGCGAACGGGUGAGUAACACGUGGGCAACCUGCCCCUCGCAGGGGGACAACCGGAGGAAACUCCGGCUAAUACCCCGUACGCUUACAGGGUCGCAUGUCCCUGUAAGGAAAGGUAGCUUCGGCCAUCCGGCGAGGGAUGGGCCCGCGGUGCAUUAGCUAGUUGGUGGGGUAACGGCCCACCAAGGCGACGAUGCGUAGCUGGUCUGAGAGGAUGAUCAGCCACACUGGGACUGAGACACGGCCCAGACUCCUACGGGAGGCAGCAGCCAGGAAUCUUGGGCAAUGGGCGCAAGCCUGACCCAGCAACACCGUGUGGGCGAUGAAGGCCUUCGGGUCGUAAAGCCCUGUUGAUAGGGACGAAGGGCGAAGGGUUAAUAGCCCCUAGCCUGACGGUACCUUUCGAGGAAGCCCCGGCUAACUACGUGCCAGCAGCCGCGGUAAUACGUAGGGGGCGAGCGUUGUCCGGAAUUAUUGGGCGUAAAGAGCGUGUAGGCGGUUCGGUAAGUCUGUCGUGAAAACCUGAGGCUCAACCUCGGGCGUGCGAUGGAUACUGCCGGGCUAGAGGACGGUAGAGGCGAGUGGAAUUCCCGGUGUAGCGGUGAAAUGCGCAGAUAUCGGGAGGAACACCAGUA
Molecule: ribosomal RNA, 698 nt
Filed under: uncultured Actinomycetes bacterium
Lineage: Bacteria; Bacillati; Actinomycetota; Actinomycetes
Description: bacterial SSU rRNA
Rfam family: Bacterial small subunit ribosomal RNA
Source: RNAcentral